RNAcentral lists this ribosomal RNA (414 nucleotides) under Fusobacterium periodonticum. RNAcentral's name for it is "bacterial SSU rRNA". It matches the Rfam family "Bacterial small subunit ribosomal RNA", at positions 28 to 452 of the family's 1533-position model. The record is from RNAcentral. Lineage: Bacteria; Fusobacteriati; Fusobacteriota; Fusobacteriia; Fusobacteriales; Fusobacteriaceae.
GAUGAACGCUGACAGAAUGCUUAACACAUGCAAGUCAACUUGAACUUCGGUUUGGGUGGCGGACGGGUGAGUAACGCGUAAAGAACUUGCCUCACAGAUAGGGACAACAUUUGGAAACGAAUGCUAACACCUGAUAUUAUGGUUUUAGGGCAUCCUAGAAUUAUGAAAGCUAUAUGCGCUGUGGGAGAGCUUUGCGUCCCAUUAGCUAGUUGGAGAGGUAACGGCUCACCAAGGCGAUGAUGGGUAGCCGGCCUGAGAGGGUGAUCGGCCACAAGGGGACUGAGACACGGCCCUUACUCCUACGGGAGGCAGCAGUGGGGAAUAUUGGACAAUGGACCAAGAGUCUGAUCCAGCAAUUCUGUGUGCACGAUGAAGUUUUUCGGAAUGUAAAGUGCUUUCAGUUGGAAGAAAAAA